This 541-nucleotide ribosomal RNA is filed under the name uncultured bacterium. RNAcentral describes it as "partial 16S ribosomal RNA". It matches the Rfam family "Bacterial small subunit ribosomal RNA", at positions 28 to 523 of the family's 1533-position model. The record is from RNAcentral.
GAUGAACGCUGGCGGCGUGCCUAAUACAUGCAAGUCGAACGCUUUGUGGUUCAACUGAUUUGAAGAGCUUGCUCAGAUAUGACGAUGGACAUUGCAAAGAGUGGCGAACGGGUGAGUAACACGUGGGAAACCUACCUCUUAGCAGGGGAUAACAUUUGGAAACAGAUGCUAAUACCGUAUAACAAUGACAACCGCAUGGUUGUUAUUUGAAAGAUGGUUCUGCUAUCACUAAGAGAUGGUCCCGCGGUGCAUUAGCUAGUUGGUAAGGUAAUGGCUUACCAAGGCGAUGAUGCAUAGCCGAGUUGAGAGACUGAUCGGCCACAAUGGGACUGAGACACGGCCCAUACUCCUACGGGAGGCAGCAGUAGGGAAUCUUCCACAAUGGGCGAAAGCCUGAUGGAGCAACGCCGCGUGUGUGAUGAAGGGUUUCGGCUCGUAAAACGCUGUUGUAAGAGAAGAAUGACAUUGAGAGUAACUGUUCAAUGUGUGACGGUAUCUUACCAGAAAGGAACGGCUAAAUACGUGCCAGCCGCCGCAGUAA